This 492-nucleotide ribosomal RNA is filed under the name uncultured bacterium. Its description in RNAcentral is "partial 16S ribosomal RNA". It matches the Rfam family "Bacterial small subunit ribosomal RNA", at positions 29 to 507 of the family's 1533-position model. The record is from RNAcentral.
AGUGAACGCUGGCGGUAGGCCUAACACAUGCAAGUCGAACGGCAGCACAGUAAGAGCUUGCUCUUACGGGUGGCGAGUGGCGGACGGGUGAGGAAUACAUCGGAAUCUACUUUUUCGUGGGGGAUAACGUAGGGAAACUUACGCUAAUACCGCAUACGACCUACGGGUGAAAGCAGGGGAUCUUCGGACCUUGCGCGAUUGAAUGAGACGAUGUCGGAUUAGCUAGUUGGCGGGGUAAAGGCCCACCAAGGCGACGAUCCGUAGCUGGUCUGAGAGGAUGAUCAGCCACACUGGAACUGAGACACGGUCCAGACUCCUACGGGAGGCAGCAGUGGGGAAUAUUGGGCAAUGGGCGCAAGCCUGAUCCAGCCAUACCGCGUGGGUGAAGAAGGCCUUCGGGUUGUAAAGCCCUUUUGUUGGGAAAGAAAAGCAGCAGGUUAAUACCCCGCUGUUCUGACGGUACCCAAAGAAUAAGCACCGGCUAACUUCGUG